CAAUAGCGUAUAUUUAAGUUGUUGCAGUUAAAAAGCUCGUAGUUGGAUUUCGGGUGGGACGCAGCGGUCUCGCAUUGCGUUUGUACUGCUGCAGCCCUCCUUCUUGCCGGGGGCGGCCUCUCGGACUUCACUGUCUGGGGGUCAGAAUCGGCGAUGUUACUUUGAGUAAAUUAGAGUGUUCAAAGCAAGCUUACGCUCUGAAUAUAAUAGCAUGGGAUAACACGACAGGACUCUGGCCUAUCGUGUUGGUCUAUAGGACCAGAGUAAUGAUUAAGAGGGACAGUCGGGGGCAUUCGUAUUCCGUUGUCAGAGGUGAAAUUCUUGGAUUUGCGGAAGACGAACAUCUGCGAAAGCAUUUGCCAAGGAUGUUUUCAUUGA
Molecule: ribosomal RNA, 378 nt
Filed under: uncultured eukaryote
Lineage: Eukaryota
Description: partial 18S ribosomal RNA
Rfam family: Eukaryotic small subunit ribosomal RNA
Source: RNAcentral